This 263-nucleotide ribosomal RNA is filed under the name uncultured Staphylococcus sp. Its description in RNAcentral is "partial 16S ribosomal RNA". It matches the Rfam family "Bacterial small subunit ribosomal RNA", at positions 99 to 355 of the family's 1533-position model. The record is from RNAcentral. Lineage: Bacteria; Bacillati; Bacillota; Bacilli; Caryophanales; Staphylococcaceae.
CGGACGGGUGAGUAACACGUGGAUAACCUACCUAUAAGACUGGGAUAACUUCGGGAAACCGGAGCUAAUACCGGAUAAUAUAUUGAACCGCAUGGUUCAAUAGUGAAAGACGGUUUUGCUGUCACUUAUAGAUGGAUCCGCGCUGCAUUAGCUAGUUGGUAAGGUAACGGCUUACCAAGGCAACGAUGCGUAGCCGACCUGAGAGGGUGAUAGGCCACACUGGAACUGAGACACGGUCCAGACUCCUACGGGAGGCAGCAGCC